Molecule: ribosomal RNA, 586 nt
Filed under: Phaeosphaeria herpotrichoides
Lineage: Eukaryota; Fungi; Ascomycota; Dothideomycetes; Pleosporales; Phaeosphaeriaceae
Description: eukaryotic LSU rRNA
Rfam family: 5.8S ribosomal RNA (bases 193-346)
Source: RNAcentral
GUAUCAGUAGCUGCUACUGGCUCGGGAGCUCGCUGUAAGUCCGCAUAGUUUAAUUACUGAUGAGCGGCAGGCACUCUGUCUGAACCCUUGUCUUUUGCGCACUCUUGUUUCCUCGGCGGGCUUGCCCGCCGAUUGGACAAAACUAUAACCUUUUUAAUUUUCAAUCAGCGUCUGAAAAAACUUAAUAAUUACAACUUUCAACAACGGAUCUCUUGGUUCUGGCAUCGAUGAAGAACGCAGCGAAAUGCGAUAAGUAGUGUGAAUUGCAGAAUUCAGUGAAUCAUCGAAUCUUUGAACGCACAUUGCGCCCCUUGGUAUUCCAUGGGGCAUGCCUGUUCGAGCGUCAUUUUGUACCCUCAAGCUCUGCUUGGUGUUGGGUGUUUGUCCUCUCCUCUGCGUUUGGACUCGCCUUAAAGCAAUUGGGCAGCCAGUGUUUCGGUAUUGAAGCGCAGCACAUUUUGCGAUUCUAGCCUAUAAUACUUGCGUCCAUAAGGCCUUUUUUAACUUUUGACCUCGGAUCAGGUAGGGAUACCCGCUGAACUUUAGGCUUUUCGUGACGGGGGAGGUUUCCCUGUUCACGGUCGGG